This 330-nucleotide ribosomal RNA is filed under the name uncultured bacterium. RNAcentral's name for it is "bacterial SSU rRNA". It matches the Rfam family "Bacterial small subunit ribosomal RNA", at positions 568 to 898 of the family's 1533-position model. The record is from RNAcentral.
CGCGUAGGUGGUAGUGUAAGUCUGGGGUGGAAUCCCAGGGCUCAACCCUGGAACUGCCUUGGAAACUGCAUUACUUGAGUCAGUGAGGGGAGGGUAGAAUUCCUGGUGUAGCGGUGAAAUGCGUAGAUAUCAGGAGGAAGGCCUGUGGCGAAGGCGGCCCUCUGGCGCUGGACUGACACUGAGGCGCGAAAGCGUGGGGAGCAAACAGGAUUAGAUACCCUGGUAGUCCACGCCCUAAACGGUGGGCACUAGGUGUAGGGCUCGUAAGGGUUCUGUGCCGAAGAGAAACCAUUAAGUGCCCCGCCUGGGGAGUACGGCCGCAAGGUUGAA